UGAGAGACUCCCCCGCCGAAAGACCAAGGGUUCCUGCUUAAAGUUAAUCUGAGCAGGGUUAGCCGGCCCCUAAGACGAGGCGGAAACGCGUAGUCGAUGGGAACCACGUUAAUAUUCGUGGGCCUGGAGGUAGUGACGGAUCGCACAAGUUGUCCAAUCUUAUCGGAUUGAACGGGCAGCGGAGCGGUUCCAGGAAAUAGCUCCCACUUAUAGACCGUACCCGAAACCGACACUGGUGGUCAGGUAGAGUAUACCAAGGCGCUUGAGAGAACUAUGUUGAAGGAACUCGGCAAUUUACCUCCGUAACUUCGGGAUAAGGAGGCCCAUUGCUCGCGCAAGCGGGCAGUGGGGGCACAGACCAGGGGGUGGCAACUGUUUAACAAAAACACAGGGCUCUGCGAAAUCGCAAGAUGACGUAUAGGGUCUGACGCCUGCCCGGUGCUGGAAGGUUAAGAGGAG
This 459-nucleotide ribosomal RNA is filed under the name Gloeochaete wittrockiana. RNAcentral's name for it is "partial Bacterial large subunit ribosomal RNA". It matches the Rfam family "Bacterial large subunit ribosomal RNA", at positions 1322 to 1886 of the family's 2925-position model. Lineage: Eukaryota; Glaucocystophyceae; Gloeochaetales; Gloeochaetaceae. The record is from RNAcentral.